This 561-nucleotide ribosomal RNA is filed under the name uncultured bacterium. Its description in RNAcentral is "partial 16S ribosomal RNA". It matches the Rfam family "Bacterial small subunit ribosomal RNA", at positions 355 to 909 of the family's 1533-position model. The record is from RNAcentral.
UGGGGAAUUUUGGACAAUGGGCGAAAGCCUGAUCCAGCAAUGCCGCGUGUGUGAAGAAGGCCUUCGGGUUGUAAAGCACUUUUGUCCGGAAAGAAAUCCUUGGCUCUAAUACAGUCGGGGGAUGACGGUACCGGAAGAAUAAGCACCGGCUAACUACGUGCCAGCAGCCGCGGUAAUACGUAGGGUGCAAGCGUUAAUCGGAAUUACUGGGCGUAAAGCGUGCGCAGGCGGUUUGCUAAGACCGAUGUGAAAUCCCCGGGCUCAACCUGGGAACUGCAUUGGUGACUGGCAGGCUAGAGUAUGGCAGAGGGGGGUAGAAUUCCACGUGUAGCAGUGAAAUGCGUAGAGAUGUGGAGGAAUACCGAUGGCGAAGGCAGCCCCCUGGGCCAAUACUGACGCUCAUGCACGAAAGCGUGGGGAGCAAACAGGAUUAGAUACCCUGGUAGUCCACGCCCUAAACGAUGUCAACUAGUUGUUGGGGAUUCAUUUCCUUAGUAACGUAGCUAACGCGUGGAGUUGACCGCCUGGGGAGUACGGUCGCAAGAUUAAAACUCAAAUGAA